This 668-nucleotide ribosomal RNA is filed under the name uncultured archaeon. Its description in RNAcentral is "bacterial SSU rRNA". It matches the Rfam family "Archaeal small subunit ribosomal RNA", at positions 54 to 728 of the family's 1478-position model. The record is from RNAcentral.
UGAGUCAUUGUAGCAAUACAAGGCAGACGGCUCAGUAACACGUAGUCAAUCUACCCUAUGGACGGGGAUAACCUCGGGAAACUGAGGAUAAAACCCGAUAGAUCAUAAUGCCUGGAACGGUUUAUGGUCCAAAUGAUUCGUCGCCGUAGGAUGGGACUGCGGCCUAUCAGCUUGUUGGUGAGGUAAUGGCCCACCAAGGCUAUUACAGGUACGGGCUCUGAGAGGAGAAGCCCGGAGAUGGGUACUGAGACACGGACCCAGGCCCUAUGGGGCGCAGCAGGCGAGAAACCUUUGCAAUGUGCGCAAGCACGACAAGGUUAAUCCGAGUGUUUCCUGCUAAAGGAAUCUUUUGUUAGUUUUAAAAUCACUAUUGAAUAAGGGGUGGGCAAGUUCUGGUGUCAGCCGCCGCGGUAAAACCAGCACCUCAAGUGGUCAGGAGGAUUAUUGGGCCUAAAGCAUCCGUAGCCUGUUCUGUAAGUUUUCGGUUAAAUCCAUUAGCUCAACUAAUGGGCCGCCGAAAAUACUGCAUAACUAGGGAGUGGGAGAGGUAGACGGUACUCGGUAGGAAGGGGUAAAAUCCUUUGAUCUAUUGAUGACCACCUGUGGCGAAGGCGGUCUACCAGAACACGUUCGACGGUGAGGGAUGAAAGCUGGGGGAGCAAACCGGA